GCCAUUGUAAUACAAGGAGCGGU
RNAcentral lists this non-coding RNA (23 nucleotides) under Arabidopsis thaliana (thale cress). Lineage: Eukaryota; Viridiplantae; Streptophyta; Magnoliopsida; Brassicales; Brassicaceae. The record is from RNAcentral.